Molecule: unclassified non-coding RNA, 169 nt
Filed under: Homo sapiens (human)
Lineage: Eukaryota; Metazoa; Chordata; Mammalia; Primates; Hominidae
Description: ADAM metallopeptidase with thrombospondin type 1 motif 12 (ENSG00000281690.2)
Source: RNAcentral
AGAAUUUGAAUACAUACAGUGAGACCCUAGAGCUCAAGCAUUGUAUAUCUUUACCUGAGAUCUUACAAAGAGGAAGAUGAAGAUGUAAAAGAAUAAAGUAGGCUAUGCUGAUAUUUCACAUCCUGGCCAGAGAUCACCCUGCUUUUGUAAAGCUUUGGAGAAAAUGGGU